RNAcentral lists this ribosomal RNA (426 nucleotides) under uncultured bacterium. Its description in RNAcentral is "partial 16S ribosomal RNA". It matches the Rfam family "Bacterial small subunit ribosomal RNA", at positions 355 to 774 of the family's 1533-position model. The record is from RNAcentral.
UGGGGAAUAUUGCACAAUGGGCGCAAGCCUGAUGCAGCCAUGCCGCGUGUAUGAAGAAGGCCUUCGGGUUGUAAAGUACUUUCAGCGGGGAGGAAGGUGUUGUGGUUAAUAACCGCAGCAAUUGACGUUACCCGCAGAAGAAGCACCGGCUAACUCCGUGCCAGCAGCCGCGGUAAUACGGAGGGUGCAAGCGUUAAUCGGAAUUACUGGGCGUAAAGCGCACGCAGGCGGUCUGUCAAGUCGGAUGUGAAAUCCCCGGGCUCAACCUGGGAACUGCAUUCGAAACUGGCAGGCUAGAGUCUUGUAGAGGGGGGUAGAAUUCCAGGUGUAGCGGUGAAAUGCGUAGAGAUCUGGAGGAAUACCGGUGGCGAAGGCGGCCCCUGGACAAAGACUGACGCUCAGGUGCGAAAGCGUGGGGAGCAAACA